AGUAGCAUGUGAUUCAUAAAGCAGCAGUGCGUGAAGAGGAGAAGGGUGAUUCACCUGAGAAAUUCACACUGCUUAGUACUGCAGCAUCUCUCAUUUCAGGGAUCUGAAAGCUUUGACAUAUCCAUACCACAGCCUCAGUACUGCCCUUCAUACUGCACAGACUUUCUCUGCAAGCAGCAAGUCUGAAAGAGACCUCAUGUCUGAUCAGCUGCCAUGGAAAUAAAGCCAAAAAGUAUUAUACACCAACUCUCAGUGUCUUUUUGAAAAAGGAAUUGUAUUUUUACCCCAAUUUCAUUGAAAAAUAACAGGCACAGAUAGAUCAACUACCUUUCCUGAACUCAAAACACAAAUAAAUCAGUGGCUAAGCUUUCAUUAAAACCCAGACACAUUCUCAGAUGUGUAUUCUUCCCUCCCACCUUUUAAACGACCUCUAAAAAUCUGUAUUUCCUUAGAGUUCCCCUGAAUUAGCCGAAGGGCAGCAGUGGCUGCAGCUGCUGUGCAGCAGCAGCUGGUUAGGUCUCUCCAUUUCACCCUCCCAUCACACCUUUCCCAUGCCUAGCUGCCUAAACAGGAACUUUCUACCUUUUAAAGUCACGCUUCAAAAUAAAUACCUGCAAUUUUUAAAAUUUUAUUUCUGUGUUGUACUUACACUACAUAAUUCAAACAUAAUGUCUGCUGACACUUGAGCAUUUCAUACACACAGGAGUAUCAAACCUAGUAAGUAGAGAAAAGAGAGCUACAGGAGUAACAGCAUCAACUUCCAAGCAGAUUGAUUGAAUUUAACAAACCAUAAAGCGCUUCAUUUUGGGGUCAGCAAGCUGCUAAGCCUAACAUAUGCAGAUUCUAUUAAUUUCCAUGCCUAGCUCUUGGAAAAACUGAAAGGGGAAGAGGAAGAGAUACAGGAUACACAGGCAGAGCUGCACUGCUGAUGAAGAGGACACAAGAAAGCUUACUCUGCAGUACCAAGCGCUCGGAUGCCAUCUGUCUCUCCUCAGAAGAUCUGAGUUCUGCAGUGCUGGACAAAGAGAUGGGAGGGCUCUGGCCUCCUCAAAACACAGUGACCUAAGCUGUCACACACCUAAACCAGCCUCCAGAGGCCUCUACAGGAGGAGUGGAGCACGGUAAUUAUCUCCAUGUGUUUUAUAUGACAUUUACAUAUCAUUUCCUAGGCU
Molecule: long non-coding RNA, 1172 nt
Filed under: Cyanistes caeruleus (blue tit)
Lineage: Eukaryota; Metazoa; Chordata; Aves; Passeriformes; Paridae
Description: lncRNA (ENSCCEG00000001416.1)
Source: RNAcentral